CUCACGGGUAUGUGUUAGAAGAGAUGGAAACAGGACUGACUCACAGAUAACUAUAGAAAAAUAAGUAAAGAGAGGUAGAGAAGCUUCUAGUUCAGAUUUAUUUGCCCCUUUCAUGCCUUGGUCUUGAGGUAAGGCAUUUUGUUAGAUAGGAGAAGCAGAUGUAGAAAUCUUGCUUUGGAUUCCUUUUUCGUGCUCUUGAGGGGAACCACUUCUAUGCAGAAAUAACUCCUAGGCAUGCAUCAUCCAGCCUAGUGUAGAAGGUGCAGAGGGACACGUGGAGGAAGAGUGGGCCAGGCCCUAGUGGCAUGGCACAGACUUGGCCAAGAUUAUUACAGCAAACUUCAGGUACUUUGAUACUUCUUCUCAGGUCAAGGGCUCCAGGAAUAGAAGAGAGUCUGAAGCUAGAGAAAUUCUUAAGGAAUAGCUGAGUCUUCAAGGGUAUAGGCCAAUGAUCUCCAAGAGUUCUACCUGAGCCCCCAAAGCAAAACUGUAUUUAACAGCUACAUUGCUGCUCUCAACAGAGAGAAAUGGGACAUUGCCUUGGAAGCUAGGGAGAGUCAAAAAUACACUUUCCUCAGGUCCUACACUCGGAGUUCACAAGGAGCCCACAUGCUCCCACAUGUGCACUCAGACACACCUAUGGAAAGGGCACGGAAGGUGGAUGGAAGGCAGAAAAGUCUGAGGCUGAAGAUGUUACCGGAGCCCAAGUUCGACUGCCUGUUACUCGAAAUGCCAAGUCGCAAGAGAUGAGUGUUGACUCGAGUAUGAGCUUUAUUCAGGAGGCCAGCCCCCUGGGGAGAAGAAUCAUGAAUGAAGCAGAACUGAAUUUGCAAAAAAAUAUUGUAAGAGAGGCAUGGAUUCUGAAUAUGGGGAAAAAUCAGAGACUGGGAUCAUAUUCAGAUUCUAGGAACAAAAGAGAUAAAGCGAGCAAGCACCAACAGGCCCAGAGUGUAGGCAGAGGGAGAGGGAGAAGCUGAGAGCCCAACACGGUCAACCCAGGACUCUGGGACCACGACCUGAGCCGAAGGCAGGCACUCGACCACUCAGCCACCAGUAACUGAACAUCGAGAAGAGUUUUCUCACCUUGCAAGUCCAGCCCUUUCAGCAUCCCGGAAGAAAAAUGGAGGCUCAAGAGACACCGGAGGACUAUUCAAAUUAGCAUUACAAUCGACGGGAGAUUUAUCUAAGUCAUCACCUAGAAAGAUAUCUCCUCCUUUCAAAGUUAAUUUAUGAGCACACGAAAAGCUAAUCUUAGAUUUCUUAUUAUUUAAUGCAUCUUUACACACUUAGCUCCCCUCCUGUGAACAGAAGAUAUUACUUUUGAAUGAAAUUCUAUGGAAUUAUCCUUAACUAUCCUAAUAGCAGAACAGCUGUGCAUGAUUAAUGUUAUUAUAAUAAAUACUAUGAGAAUUUGUAAUAAAUUGUCAACUGCCAUUAUCUGCUACCAAAAUAAUUCAUCACUUUUUAAUUUCUUAAUUCAUAAUUACCAACCUAAUUAAUCCAUUUUAAGAUUACUCAAUUCAUUAGACAAUUUGAUUUGGUUCAUUGGCCAGGCCCCAGUAUGUAUGUAAAAACUAUACUUUAAGUCUGUUAAUCAGCUGCCCUCUAUUGGAACAAUGUGCUGAUGAUUUAAUAUGUUAUUCAUGUGAAUAUUUUAUGUAUAUUCAUGUGAACUUUAAUUAACCUUAUUGAG
Canis lupus familiaris (dog) is the source of this 1693-nucleotide long non-coding RNA. RefSeq lists it as uncharacterized. The transcript is spliced from 4 exons. Lineage: Eukaryota; Metazoa; Chordata; Mammalia; Carnivora; Canidae. The record is from RefSeq and is a predicted model, not a curated record.